GACGAACGCUGGCGGCGUGCUUAACACAUGCAAGUCGAACGGAGAGGCCCGGCGUUUGUGGGGUGCUGGAGUGGCGAGCGGGGGAGUAAAACGUGAGGAACCUGUGCUUGAGAUUGGGAGAACUUCAGGGAAAUGGGGUGAAUACCGGGUAGGAGAUCCUGAUGCAUGGGGGGGGUGGGAGAAUGUCGGCGGUGGGGGAUGGACUCGCGGCUUAUCAGCUUGUUGGUGGGGUAGUGAGGUACAGGGGCUUUGACGGGUAGCCGGCCUGAGAGGGUGACCGGCCACAUUGGGCCUGAGAUACGGCCCAGACUCCUACGGGAGGCAGCAGUGGGGAAUAUUGCACACUGGGCGGAAUCCUGAUGCAGCAACGCCGCGUGCGGGAUGACGGCCUUCGGGUUGUAAACCGCUUUCGCCUGUGACGAAGCGUGAGUGACGGUAAUUGGUAAAGAAGCACCGGCUAACUACGUG
RNAcentral lists this ribosomal RNA (468 nucleotides) under uncultured bacterium. RNAcentral describes it as "partial 16S ribosomal RNA". It matches the Rfam family "Bacterial small subunit ribosomal RNA", at positions 28 to 507 of the family's 1533-position model. The record is from RNAcentral.